UACAGAGGGUGCAAGCGUUAAUCGGAAUUACUGGGCGUAAAGCGUGCGUAGGCGGUCGCGUAAGUCAGAUGUGAAAGCCCCGGGCUCAACCUGGGAAUUGCAUUUGAGACUGCGUAGCUAGGGUGCGGAAGAGGGAAGCGGAAUUUCCGGUGUAGCGGUGAAAUGCGUAGAUAUCGGAAGGAACACCAGUGGCGAAAGCGGCUUCCUGGUCCAGCACCGACGUUCAGGCACGAAAGCGUGGGGAGCAAACAGG
RNAcentral lists this ribosomal RNA (253 nucleotides) under uncultured bacterium. RNAcentral describes it as "partial 16S ribosomal RNA". It matches the Rfam family "Bacterial small subunit ribosomal RNA", at positions 524 to 776 of the family's 1533-position model. The record is from RNAcentral.